Molecule: ribosomal RNA, 738 nt
Filed under: uncultured bacterium
Lineage: Bacteria
Description: bacterial SSU rRNA
Rfam family: Bacterial small subunit ribosomal RNA
Source: RNAcentral
AGAGUUUGAUCCUGGCUCAGAACGAACGCUGGCGGCAGGCUUAACACAUGCAAGUCGAGCGCCCGCAAGGGAGCGGCAGACGGGUGAGUAACGCGUGGGAAUCUACCCAGUUCUACGGAAUAACCCAGGGAAACUUGGACUAAUACCGUAUACGCCCUACGGGGGGAAGAUUUAUCGGAAUUGGAUGAGCCCGCGUUGGAUUAGCUAGUUGGUGAGGUAAUGGCUCACCAAGGCGACGAUCCAUAGCUGGUCUGAGAGGAUGAUCAGCCACACUGGGACUGAGACACGGCCCAGACUCCUACGGGAGGCAGCAGUGGGGAAUAUUGGACAAUGGGCGAAAGCCUGAUCCAGCCAUGCCGCGUGAGUGAUGAAGGCCUUAGGGUUGUAAAGCUCUUUCAGUAGGGAAGAUAAUGACGGUACCUACAGAAGAAGCCCCGGCUAACUUCGUGCCAGCAACCGCGGUAAUACGAAGGGGGCUAGCGUUGUUCGGAUUUACUGGGCGUAAAGCGCACGUAGGCGGAUCGUUAAGUCAGGGGUGAAAUCCUGGAGCUCAACUCCAGAACUGCCUUUGAUACUGGCGAUCUAGAGUCCGGAAGAGGUGAGUGGAACUCCUAGUGUAGAGGUGGAAUUCGUAGAUAUUAGGAAGAACACCAGUGGCGAAGGCGGCUCACUGGUCCGGUACUGACGCUGAGGUGCGAAAGCGUGGGGAGCAAACAGGAUUAGAUACCCUAGUAGUCC